UGAGCGUGCAGAAUAAUCCAAUAUGAUCGCAGACGGUUCUUCUCUUCCUUCUUUAAAGAGAAAGAGACUCCCCGCGGUUGAUUCUUUGGACACUGAAGCUGCAGCAGCUAAGGUCAAGCUUGCUAUCAAAGCAAAGUUCAGGCGUGAUCUUUGUGUGUUUGAGAUGUUUUGUCCGCCACCAACUCAAGUUUCCAAGGAGGAGACAGAUGCAGAGGACUGUCCAUAUAUUCUGGCCACAAGGAAGGAAGAGAAAUUUUGAAGACGAGAAAAAUUCAAGAAGCAAAAGAAUCAGCUCACAAGUCAAGAAUAAGAAAGGUUGUGAUUAGAGUUCGCUUUCCUGAUAAAGAUACAUUAGAGGUGGCAUUUCCUUCUUCAGAAAAGAUUCAGAGCUUAUUGAAUCUUCUCAAGAAAGUUGUUGCUCGACCAGAAUUACCGUUCUAUAUAUUCAAGGGGGAUUUUCGAAGCUGAAGAAGUUGACAUUCGUUUACGUUGCUGUUACCACCCCUCCAUAGAAGCUAGUAAAAAAAUUGUCAGAGAUUUUGUACUCAGGUGGCUUUAGUCCUGGUGCAAUUGUGUACUUUUCAUAUGAUCUACAGAGAGGAGAUGAUGCCGCGGCUAUCUACUCUGGUCCUUUUCUCCGAGAAGAAGUCAUGGCUUUGAAAGGUUUGAAUGUCAUUUCUGAAUCAGCAGCCUGUUCAGUCAGUAACAGGAUCAGUAAUAGCAACUCUCUCCCCUUUUCUUCAAGAGCCUACGCCUGGUGAGAAAAAAAACCCCUUUGAGCCAUUUUGGCUAAAAACGUGAUGCAAUAACAAAUUCUUCCAAAUGAACAUCAGAAUUGUGGCCUCAACACUCAUACAAUCCAUAAUGGAAGGGUUGUUUGUAACAUUAACUAGGAAGCUAUUCAGAACUUACCAUGGUUGAAAGAUGGUAACAGGUCCGAGGAAGUGACUUUUGUAAAAGCUCUUCACACUGACAAUCUUGUAAAUACUGCUCAUAAUUCUGCCAUGCCAUAGUUCUUCUGAGUGCCAUGCGCUUGCUUCACGGGUUAUGUUUUCCAUCGUUGAUCAUGUCCUACGUUUUUUACCCAUCCCUUCAACCUUCCCAGCUACAUAGUUUGAGCUAUCACAUUAAAUGCUUCAAGGAAGAUGCUUUAUUCUGAAGAAAUUUAUAGGGUGUGUUAAAAACAGUGUCUGCGCUCUGAAGGUAGGCACACUGAUUUUUUUUUUCGCCAUUUAAAUUUUUUUCCACUGUCAUUAAUUUUUUUUAAUUUAGUACUUUUGCAUUGUAUUGCGAGGAAUUGAGAUUCGUAAUUGAUAUAUUUGUUUUGAUUU
This is a long non-coding RNA of Populus trichocarpa (black cottonwood), 1331 nucleotides long. RefSeq lists it as uncharacterized. The transcript has 8 exons. Lineage: Eukaryota; Viridiplantae; Streptophyta; Magnoliopsida; Malpighiales; Salicaceae. The record is from RefSeq and is a predicted model, not a curated record.